Molecule: ribosomal RNA, 497 nt
Filed under: uncultured bacterium
Lineage: Bacteria
Description: partial 16S ribosomal RNA
Rfam family: Bacterial small subunit ribosomal RNA
Source: RNAcentral
GAUGAACGCUGGCGGCGUGCCUAAUACAUGCAAGUCGAGCGAACGGACGAGAAGCUUGCUUCUCUGUUGUUAGCGGCGGACGGGUGAGUAACACGUGGAUAACCUACCUAUAAGACUGGGAUAACUUCGGGAAACCGGAGCUAAUACCGGAUAAUAUUUUGAACCGCAUGGUUCAAAAGUGAAAGACGGUCUUGCUGUCUCUUAUAGAUGGAUCCGCGCUGCAUUAGCUAGUUGGUAAGGUAACGGCUUACCAAGGCAACGAUGCAUAGCCGACCUGAGAGGGUGGUCGGACACACGGGAACUGAGACACGGUCCAGACUCCUACGGGAGGCAGCAGUAGGGAAUCUUCCGCAAUGGGCGAAAGCCUGACGGAGCAACACCGCGUGAGUGAUGAAGGUCUUCGGAUCGUAAAACUCUGUUAUUAGGGAAGAACAUAUGUGUAAGUAACUGUGCACAUCUUGACGGUACCUAAUCAGAAAGCCACGGCUAACUACGUG